This 500-nucleotide ribosomal RNA is filed under the name uncultured bacterium. Its description in RNAcentral is "partial 16S ribosomal RNA". It matches the Rfam family "Bacterial small subunit ribosomal RNA", at positions 30 to 523 of the family's 1533-position model. The record is from RNAcentral.
AUUGAACGCUGGCGGCAUGCCUUACACAUGCAAGUCGAACGGCAGCACGGGAGCAAUCCUGGUGGCGAGUGGCGAACGGGUGAGUAAUAUAUCGGAACGUGCCCAGUCAUGGGGGAUAACGCAGCGAAAGCUGUGCUAAUACCGCAUACGAUCUAAGGAUGAAAGCGGGGGAUCGCAAGACCUCGCGCGAUUGGAGCGGCCGAUAUCAGAUUAGCUAGUUGGUGGGGUAAAGGCCCACCAAGGCGACGAUCUGUAGCUGGUCUGAGAGGACGACCAGCCACACUGGAACUGAGACACGGUCCAGACUCCUGCGGGAGGCAGCAGUGGGGAAUUUUGGACAAUGGGCGCAAGCCUGAUCCAGCAAUGCCGCGUGCAGGAUGAAGGCCUUCGGGUUGUAAACUGCUUUUGUACGGAACGAAACGGCCCUUUCUAAUACAGGGGGCUAAUGACGGUACCGUAAGAAUAAGCACCGGCUAACUACGUGCCAGCAGCCGCCGUAA